This 27-nucleotide small RNA is filed under the name Bombyx mori (domestic silkworm). RNAcentral describes it as "ovarian small RNA-10181". Lineage: Eukaryota; Metazoa; Arthropoda; Insecta; Lepidoptera; Bombycidae. The record is from RNAcentral.
AAAUUAAGUACAAAAAAUAAAUAAAAA